Molecule: long non-coding RNA, 1441 nt
Filed under: Apteryx rowi (Okarito brown kiwi)
Lineage: Eukaryota; Metazoa; Chordata; Aves; Apterygiformes; Apterygidae
Description: lncRNA (ENSARWG00000012073.1)
Source: RNAcentral
UUUGUAGAGCUGAAAUAGCAGACGCUUCUACAAACAACUUGUUACAUACUUGUGUGGGGGAGUAGAUAUUGGGAACAAGAAACUUAAUUGCCUCUAUUAUUUGUACAUUAGUACCAUUUUCAUGUGAAAUUCAUUAUGACUUAUCUUCAAUUUGAACUCCCACUGAUCUGCUAAACAAAAGUAUGUAUUGGUGCCUCUGAGAUCAGUUCUUUCAAAAUGAAAUGUUAGACUAUCUCCAGUCCUCUAGGUUCUCAACAAUGGUAUUGCUGUAAGUUUAUAGCACUCGAAUAAUUGGCCUUCAACAGCAAGUAUUGCAGAUCUGCCUGACUGGCAGAAAAUGCCAGUUCUUUAUUCAGAAAAAUAUGGAUGGGAGAGUGAAUGGUUUGCAUGUAAUUACAAAAUAAUGUGGAUUACAAAUUCAUAACUCCCCCACAAAAUACGCUUUACAGUUCCCCCAGAUCUCCCCCAAAUACUUAAAUAUGCCUUGAGCAGGAAGGGUAAAGUGCAUACAAGCAAGAAAGUACUUCGGUUUCAGACCGGAAUUCAUACUACAAGUUUGAAUCUAAACAGUUAUUUACUGAAUACUAGGUUUGCCUGCGGAUCCCCUGCAUGUGGGCACAUUAGGGGCUGGCAACACAAGCAGUCAUUCUUCAGACUAGAUGUGCCUUAACAUGAUCUCGAAAUUGCAGGCACACUAAGGAAUAAUAAUGAGAUGCAGUCUGGCAAGCAUACUUCCCUUAAAGAGACAUGGUCUCGAUGCACAGAUGCAAAAAUAGGAGAGAAAUUCUUAAUGCUGGCUUUUCACCAUACCAGAUGGAGCUUCAAUCUUUUUUUUUUUUCCCCUCCAAAUAAAAGCAAGAAAACCCUAACAACAUUUGAAACAAGAUCUUGCUGCAGUGGGUAUACAAUCAUGAAGAUCACUGGCUGGAUGGUUAAGGUGGAAAGCAACACGACCUUUAGCAAGACUCGCAGAAGAACAGCAAAGGGCCUAGCACUGGUGUCACUCCAGCGCAAGCAGCAUAAAGAACUUUAGUGUGGACAGUGCAACGAAAAACAGUCGGAUGCCUUGUAAAGAAGCAGUGAUUGACUGAAAUCUUAGUUGCUGCAAAUAAUUAUUGCUGUCCCUGCUGCAAAGAGGAGGUGAACAGAGGUGUUGUGUGAUGUAUUUAGUCAAUGCGAAGCAAAAUAUUGGCUGUUGUGGAAAAUUUUGCAUGUUGUUAACACCUCUUCUAAUAUGAAGAGGUUUGGCAACUCUUAGUAAACUAUAUUAGAAGGAUGUUCAAACUUAAUUCUGUGAGCUUUUCAGGUGAAAAUAUUUCAGAUAAACAGUGAGCUGAGUAUAUUGAGAAUCCAAUUCUUCUUGAAGCCUGUUCAUUUAGAACUGCAGAGCCAGCUUGGGAGUGUCUUUCGCUGACAAACCUUUCCCAGUAGCAGAGAAAAU